AUAGCUACGGAUAUUUAGAAGAUGGAGAGAAGUUAUCACCUGAAGAAAAUGUGCAGGGAAUGAGUUAAUGAGUGUGGAAAGUCUGACAAUAGGGAAGGAAAAGCAGAGAAUAUUCAAGAAAGCAAGCCACUGGAAGAGAUGGUAGGGAAGGCAGAGAUAAGAAAAUGAGGUGGUACUGGAAAUUGCUCAGAAGCACCGCAUGUUGAUGAAUUGCCAACACCUUUCAAUUAAUUAAAUCACUAUAUUUGGCUCUGUCUCUGGUGGGUUUACUGCUUAUCCCAAGCAGGUGUUGAUGGAUUAGGACAUUCCUCUCUGGCUGAUUCCUGAUUAAAUUUGGACAAAGGACCUGACAGCUGUCAUGUCUCUGUUUCCCGUAACUCUUCCCUCAAAUCAGAAAGCACAGAGUCUGCUACAGGAGAAAAGCGUGGAGAGCCAUCUUGUGCAGCAAUGAAGGUCACUGUGCAAGUACACCUAAUUACAUCAUCCGAGGCCAUAAAGAACUGAGUGUGGACUUCGGUUAAAAUACUUAAAAUACCUGCACACUUAGUACAUGAAAUCUGGCUUCUCCACAAGCUGCAAAAGUGACCAGCCCAUACCUAUUGCUUCAUUAGGAAUUUCCUAUGACCAGUUGACAA
Molecule: long non-coding RNA, 635 nt
Filed under: Pan troglodytes (chimpanzee)
Lineage: Eukaryota; Metazoa; Chordata; Mammalia; Primates; Hominidae
Description: long non-coding RNA NONPTRT013636
Source: RNAcentral